Molecule: long non-coding RNA, 388 nt
Filed under: Struthio camelus australis
Lineage: Eukaryota; Metazoa; Chordata; Aves; Struthioniformes; Struthionidae
Description: lncRNA (ENSSCUG00000018004.1)
Source: RNAcentral
GGGUCUGCAGAGGGAAAUGAAACAGUUGUGUGUGCCAUAGUUAUUCCUCAUUAAACUGUUUGCAAACAAGUUGUUUGUUCAAUCUGCCCUGGAGUACAUGUUUGAGGAUAAAAUGCUACUGGCGAACCAGCUACCACAAUUAUAAAGGGCCAUAAGAAGAUGCUUUGCAGCAUAGAGCUGAUCAUGGGCAGUUUACCAUAAGGGUAAACCAGACCAAAGAACUUCAGCCAAUAUUUUGCAUUCUGUUUCAGUUUCCUGAAGUGUUGCGUCAAAGAAGAGAUACAGAGGGCCUACCUAUCCAGGUAGAGGAUGUAUAGCACUGAGCUGGGACUCACAAGACUUGGCCUCCUUCACUAGCUUCUUGAGGUAAAUCAUUUUGACAUGCUUG